CUUUCUUUGCUGGCGACCGGCGCACGGGUGAGUAACACGUAUCCAACCUGCCCUUUACUCGGGGAUAGCCUUUCGAAAGAAAGAUUAAUACCCGAUGGCAUAGUUCUUCCGCAUGGUAGAACUAUUAAAGAAUUUCGGUCAUCGAUGGGGAUGCGUUCCAUUAGGUUGUUGGCGGGGUAACGGCCCACCUAGUCUUCGAUGGAUAGGGGUUCUGAGAGGAAGGUCCCCCACAUUGGAACUGAGACACGGUCCAA
RNAcentral lists this ribosomal RNA (254 nucleotides) under uncultured bacterium. RNAcentral describes it as "partial 16S ribosomal RNA". It matches the Rfam family "Bacterial small subunit ribosomal RNA", at positions 79 to 334 of the family's 1533-position model. The record is from RNAcentral.